AUGGUUUGCACACUUGGGUGCCAGGUACAGGGUGUCUCCGCUUUCGGGGACACCGUAGGUGCUGGCUACACCCCUCUUCCCUGCAGAAAGUGCCCUGUUCUCUCCAUUUGGGGCUGGAUUUUUCCACCCAAACCAGUACAAGAGCACCUGUUUAGGAGGAGAAUUACCAGUCCAAAAAACAAAACCCCACAGGGAAGGAGGGGGUGCAGCUCCAAAGAGCAAGGAGGGGACGACCCCCCCCCCCGGUUGCCUGGGACCAAAUCCAUCACGCUGCCCACGUUGACCUCAAGCACCGCAGCUCCGGCUUCAGCAUCUCUCCCACCUUCGGAUGAGGGAGGGGGUCCUUCCCCACCAAAAUUCGGGACUGGGGGGGUCAGACCCACGCCUCCUCGUCAUCCUCGGUCAGCCAGGCACCGCUGUCGGCCGGCGAGGGCUUGGCCCCGGAGCGGGUGCCACUGGGCUGGGGGUGCCGGGGUGGUCCCGGGGGGUGAUGCUGGCCCCGGGGGGCUGGCGGGCGCUGGCCCAGCGGGGUGGGGAUACGCGAGGGGCGCUUGCCCGGCCUGUGGUCCCGCCGGGGACGAGCCUUGGGCCGCAGCUUCAGCUUGUAGAUGGAGGGCACGCGCUCGGGUUUCUUCAGGCACCGCCGGGGCUUGGGGACGUUGCUGGCCCUGGGUCCCCGUGGGGUCUGACCCCCGGCUCCCGGCACCUCCGCCUCCCCUCGAGCCGGGAGGGCGGUGGGCUGAGGGGCGGCUUGCGGGGGUGUUUUGGGGACCCAGUUCCCCAGCCCCACGGGGCGCAGGGGUUGCCUCCCACGGGAGAGCUCCUCUACCACCUUGCCGUAGCCGGGGGGCUGCACGUGUCCCCAGCAUCCCUGGAGACGCUCGUUCCCUCCGCUGGGGCCACAGCCUCCCCCCGGUUUGUCCGCUGGCACCCCAGGUCCCUCAGCACCCCCAGCCCUUGAACUUGGGUCUGGGUGGCACUGCUGGGUUCCCUGGGGACCCCCCCCAGCAUCGCAGACCUUGCACCCAGCUGCAAAAUGAGCCGCAGGGCUGGGGGGCCGGCAGACCGCCGGGCUGGCUCUGA
This 1083-nucleotide long non-coding RNA is filed under the name Accipiter nisus (Eurasian sparrowhawk). Its description in RNAcentral is "lncRNA (ENSANIG00000013058.1)". Lineage: Eukaryota; Metazoa; Chordata; Aves; Accipitriformes; Accipitridae. The record is from RNAcentral.